NANUGAGUGAUCGAANGAUGAAAAGAACUUUGAAAAGAGAGUUAAAUAGUNCGUGAAAUUGCUGAAAGGGAAGCAUUGGAAAUCAGUCUUACCUGGGUGAGAUCAGUAGUCUCUUCGCGAGACUAUGCNCUCUGAACCUGUGGUAGGUCAGCAUCAGUUUUCGGGGGCGGAAAAAGAAUAAGGGAAGGUGGCUUUCCGGGUUCUGCCUGGGGAGNGUUUAUAGCCCNNGUUGUAAUACGUCNNCUGGGGACUGAGGACUGCGGCUUCGUGCCAAGGAUGCUGACA
RNAcentral lists this ribosomal RNA (285 nucleotides) under Schizosaccharomyces pombe (fission yeast). RNAcentral's name for it is "25S ribosomal RNA". It matches the Rfam family "Eukaryotic large subunit ribosomal RNA", at positions 347 to 631 of the family's 3401-position model. The record is from RNAcentral. Lineage: Eukaryota; Fungi; Ascomycota; Schizosaccharomycetes; Schizosaccharomycetales; Schizosaccharomycetaceae.